RNAcentral lists this transfer RNA (68 nucleotides) under Tonatia saurophila (stripe-headed round-eared bat). Its description in RNAcentral is "transfer RNA-Thr". The record is from RNAcentral. Lineage: Eukaryota; Metazoa; Chordata; Mammalia; Chiroptera; Phyllostomidae.
GUCCAUGUAGUAUAAUCAAUAUCUUGGUCUUGUAAACCAAAGAAGGGAAUGAAACUCCCCAUAGACUC